UGGGGAAUAUUGGACAAUGGGCGCAAGCCUGAUCCAGCCAUGCCGCGUGAGUGAUGAAGGCCUUAGGGUUGUAAAGCUCUUUUGUCCGGGAAGAUAAUGACCGUACCGGAAGAAUAAGCUCCGGCUAACUUCGUGUCAGCAGCCGCGGUAAUACGAAGGGAGCUAGCGUUGUUCGGAAUUACUGGGCGUAAAGCGCAUGCAGGCGGAUCGUUAAGUCGAGGGUGAAAUCCCAGGGCUCAACCCUGGAACUGCCUUCGAUACUGGCGACCUUGAGUCCGGGAGAGGUGAGUGGAACUCCGAGUGUAGAGGUGAAAUUCGUAGAUAUUCGGAAGAACACCAGUGGCGAAGGCGGCUCACUGGCCCGGUACUGACGCUGAGAUGCGAAAGCGUGGGGAGCAAACA
This 402-nucleotide ribosomal RNA is filed under the name uncultured bacterium. RNAcentral's name for it is "bacterial SSU rRNA". It matches the Rfam family "Bacterial small subunit ribosomal RNA", at positions 355 to 774 of the family's 1533-position model. The record is from RNAcentral.